AUGAACGCUGGCGGCGUGCCUAAUACAUGCAAGUCGAGCGAACAGACGAGGAGCUUGCUCCUCUGACGUUAGCGGCGGACGGGUGAGUAACACGUGGAUAACCUACCUAUAAGACUGGGAUAACUUCGGGAAACCGGAGCUAAUACCGGAUAAUAUAUUGAACCGCAUGGUUCAAUAGUGAAAGACGGUUUUGCUGUCACUUAUAGAUGGAUCCGCGCCGCAUUAGCUAGUUGGUAAGGUAACGGCUUACCAAGGCAACGAUGCGUAGCCGACCUGAGAGGGUGAUCGGCCACACUGGAACUGAGACACGGUCCAGACUCCUACGGGAGGCAGCAGUAGGGAAUCUUCCGCAAUGGGCGAAAGCCUGACGGAGCAACGCCGCGUGAGUGAUGAAGGUCUUCGGAUCGUAAAACUCUGUUAUUAGGGAAGAACAAAUGUGUAAGUAACUAUGCACGUCUUGACGGUACCUAAUCAAAAAGCCACGGCUAACUACGUG
This 496-nucleotide ribosomal RNA is filed under the name uncultured bacterium. RNAcentral's name for it is "partial 16S ribosomal RNA". It matches the Rfam family "Bacterial small subunit ribosomal RNA", at positions 29 to 507 of the family's 1533-position model. The record is from RNAcentral.